UGGGUCUGUGCAGUGACCAGCCAGUCCCUGAGAACUCUCCCCUCCAGCACCAGGGAAAAUGGGAUUUUUUCUCCUUGUAAUUUUCGCUGUAGCCGCUUUGGAAGGUGUCCGGUCCCAGGUGCAGCUGGUGGAGUCCGGAGGGGACGUGAAAAAGCCCGGAGACUCUCUCCGCCUCUCCUGCAAAGCCUCCGGCUUCACCUUCAGCAGCUACAAUAUGAACUGGGUCCGACAGGCGCCCGGGAAGGGCCUGGAGUGGGUCUCACGGAU
Molecule: non-coding RNA, 267 nt
Organism: Chelonoidis abingdonii (Abingdon island giant tortoise)
Lineage: Eukaryota; Metazoa; Chordata; Testudines; Testudinidae
Source: RefSeq, a predicted model, not a curated record